GGCUUCGUGGCCUAAUGGUAAGGCGUUGCUUUCCGGUACAAGGAUCAUGGCAAAGAUUGUGGGUUCGAGUCCCAUCGGGGUCG
This 83-nucleotide transfer RNA is filed under the name Hortaea werneckii. RNAcentral's name for it is "tRNA-Arg". It matches the Rfam family "tRNA". From Rfam's summary of the family: Transfer RNA (tRNA) molecules are approximately 80 nucleotides in length. Their secondary structure includes four short double-helical elements and three loops (D, anti-codon, and T loops). Further hydrogen bonds mediate the characteristic L-shaped molecular structure. tRNAs have two regions of fundamental functional importance: the anti-codon, which is responsible for specific mRNA codon recognition, and the 3' end, to which the tRNAs corresponding amino acid is attached (by aminoacyl-tRNA synthetases). tRNAs cope with the degeneracy of the genetic code in two manners: having more than one tRNA (with a specific anti-codon) for a particular amino acid; and 'wobble' base-pairing, i.e. permitting non-standard base-pairing at the 3rd anti-codon position. The record is from RNAcentral. RNAcentral also lists the same sequence under 1 other name. Lineage: Eukaryota; Fungi; Ascomycota; Dothideomycetes; Mycosphaerellales; Teratosphaeriaceae.